AGAAAAAUAAGCUAAAUUAAAGCUACUAGGUUCAUACCCUAAUUAUGGGAAUAAAUCCCUUUUUCUA
This 67-nucleotide transfer RNA is filed under the name Aneurus sublobatus. RNAcentral's name for it is "tRNA-Met". The record is from RNAcentral. Lineage: Eukaryota; Metazoa; Arthropoda; Insecta; Hemiptera; Aradidae.